UCUAUGAACUCUGAACCCUACGGGCAUGGAAUAAUGAGUAAGGAAAGGAUGUAACGAUAGAUUUGAUCCUACUGUACAUUGAUAAUCAUGUGAAAGGUGUUUCAUGUGUAAGAAUAAAUUGUAUCAGGGGACAAAUAUGAGGUUGUUGGGAACGUGGGCAGAUUAUUUAAAAUCAUACCUGAUAUUGGGCUUUAUCUGACAAGAGCAAUUGUAACUCACAGGCGACAAAUUGAACAAACACGGAAACAGCUGCAGCAGGCAGAACUCACCUUUAGAUACCAGAUCGCAGUUCAUGAGAAGAAUGCUCAGGACAACUAGAUCAAGACUCAGAUCUGGGACAGGGAGAUGGCGGAGCAGGGCAGGGAUGUCGCUUACUUGAAAUACAGACUGGACAGGAUGGAAGCAAAGAGGCUACCUGAGGGAUACACGAGACAGAAACCAAUGGCUGCAAGACCAGAGACGCAGAACCUUCCAAGGAGAGGGCAGUCUGGAUCCUGGGGACCUCCUCCGUUAACUGGACAAUUCUGCAUGCCCUACCCUAGAAAUGCCCCACCCCCAUGGACUAUUAGGCACAUCCACCUCCUGAACCUUGGUGGCCCUGGGGCCACCCAAAACCCCUCCACCUACAACACUUGGGCUUUUUGCAGGUCCAGGAGCAGGUGUCACACCCAACAGUGACAUCGACACUGGCUCUGCCAAAACUGCCGAGAAGCACAAGGCUAUUUUGUAUGCAAGAGGGACUGGUCCUUCCUAGGAUCGCCUUGCAGGCUGAACCCCGUGGACCACCCUUCACCACCAUUCAUGGGCUAUGGGCCAGCUCCCCCUCCUCCACCAGCUCCUCCACAUACUAUAUUUGUUAAGAUGACCUGAACUGGAUGAGUGGCUGGACUCUUUUGAAAUUUGAAGAGGACUGUGCAUGGUGACAGACUAUCAUGUUUGUAUAUACAUUUUAAGAAAGUGUCAGAUCUACCUGAAUGCUUUCCAUGCCCAUCCUGUCCCCUCCACUUUGUCCUUCCUACUGUCCCCUAAUCCACCUUUCAUUGUUAUGUCUCUGUGUCAGUGUCUGCUUCUAGGACCAUCUACUCUCACCAUUGGUGCACACAGUGGGGUUCCUGUACACACAGGUAACAAACUGGCAGAAAUGGUGGAGGGAGUUUUCUGGGGUGAUGGGAACUUCCUAUAUCUAGAUUGAUGGGGUGCUUAUGCUUAUUUAUUUUGGAAAUAUUCCCUGAGUCCAUGGUGCCUUGGGGUCAGAUAGGUAUCUGUCCUUAGGAAAUGGCUGAGUUCUAAUGGUGGAGAAGGAUGAGGGACCAGCAGUGACUGUGGUAGAGAAGUGAGGGUCAGACCCCCGCCCAGGAUGCCAGGUCUCCACAGACAGCACCACGUGUAGGAGGACUCUGAGGAGCAGAGAUUUCUUGAUCAGACCCAUGGACUACAUAAUCAUCCUGCAGUUUCCUCACUGAGUGAUGGCCAGAGCAGAAGGACAGCAGCUGGAGGACACCCUGAUCAUGGCUGGAGUGGAGCAGUGGGCCUGGGGGAUUGAGUCAGGGAAAGGGACAGGCAGAAGGUAGCAACAGGGAGUUUGGGAAGAGAAGAGAAGGGACCCUUCUCUGCUGACUUCACCUACAUUUCUGUGUGACCAAAAGGACAUACUUGUCUCCUAGGGAAGGGAAGAGGGCUGGAAAAAAGAGUGACAUUCUCAGCUUAAGUGCCCAGGGUAUCUGCCUUGCCCUUGAGUACCUAACACAGGAAGCACGUGCUUUCUCUCAUGAUUGGAACCGCAGUUCGUACCAUUUAGUGAAAAGCAAUCCAAUUAUGAAUCCCUCAGCAUUAAAGUACUGCAAAAAAGUUAACAGACUGAAAGAUAUAACACAGGAUAAAGUCCAAAGGUAGACCGACUACAAUACUUACGGGAAUACAGUCUAUCAAAAAAGGAGGUAGGUACCCCAGUGCAGUCAUUCAGACACCUGGGCAAUAUCUGAAAACGUAAAAAAAAAAAAAUGUAGUCCUUACUUCAAAAGCAACAUUAGUGCUAGACACAAAGGGAUCAAGAGAGAAAGCAUGUGACUUCAUGGUGCUGUACCCAUGAGAUAAAGUCUCAUCAAAUUAUACCCUUUAAAUUGAGUCUACUUGUUAUAUGCAAAUUAUACCUCAUUAAAAAGAGUUUCAAAACAUAAAAUACUAGAAGCAAGUGUGGGAACAUUCCUUUCUAAUCCUGAAGUGCAUGGGUGAUAUGAGUAUGUCUGCCCAUGUCUCAAAAAUCCAAACUAAUAAGACACUUAAAAAAUCAGUAAUAGCAGAGUAAGAGGACCCUGUGCUCACCCUGUCCCAUGUGUUCAAGUACAUAACAUUCACAUCCAAGUCCAUGAACCAGAGAACGAUCCAAAGACUGGCAGAACAAAUUCCACACCUAAAUAGAAGCUGCAUCAGAAAGGUGGAGUCUGGCUGCCUGCAGAAGGGGCAGAAAAAGUGAGCCCUCACACCAGGGAAGACUAAUCUCCGUAACAUUGGGCAUUAAAACCCAGAGGGGCUGAAUUCCCUUGAGUUUACAUCCUGGAGUUUUGGAGGUCAGCUGACCCAGCACUGGGUGA
RNA transcript from Felis catus (domestic cat), 2591 nucleotides. It is a transcript of the gene named transport and Golgi organization protein 1 homolog, with no coding region annotated. Lineage: Eukaryota; Metazoa; Chordata; Mammalia; Carnivora; Felidae. The transcript is spliced from 8 exons. The record is from RefSeq and is a predicted model, not a curated record.